UUGGAGGGCAAGUCUGGUGCCAGCAGCCGCGGUAAUUCCAGCUCCAAUAGCGUAUAUUAAAGUUGUUGCAGUUAAAAAGCUCGUAGUUGAAUUUCGGGGUUCUUCCGUUGGUCAGGCUAACCAGUCUGUACUAGCGUGUAGAAUUCCUACCUUCUGGGGAACCAUCAUGUUAUUAAUUUAGCGUGGUGGGAAACCAGGACCUUUACCUUGAAAAAAUUAGAGUGUUCAAAGCAGGCUUACGUCUGAAUACAUUAGCAUGGAAUAAUAAAAUAGGACGGUGGUCCUGUUUUGUUGGUUUCUGAAUCACCGUAAUGAUUAAUAGGGAUAGUUGGGGGCAUUAGUAUUCAAUUGUCAGAGGUGAAAUUCUUGGAUUUAUUGAAGACUAACUUCUGCGAAAGCAUUUGCCAAGGAUGUUUUCAUUAAUCAAGAACGAAAGUUAGGGGAUCGAAGACGAUCAGAUACCGUCGUAGUCUUAACCAUAAACUAUGCCGACUAGGGAUCGGACGAUGUUAAAUUUUAUUGACUCGUUCGGCGCCUUACGGGAAAC
RNAcentral lists this ribosomal RNA (547 nucleotides) under uncultured Glomeromycotina. Its description in RNAcentral is "SSU rRNA". It matches the Rfam family "Eukaryotic small subunit ribosomal RNA", at positions 548 to 1098 of the family's 1831-position model. Lineage: Eukaryota; Fungi; Glomeromycota. The record is from RNAcentral.